Molecule: ribosomal RNA, 458 nt
Filed under: uncultured Verrucomicrobium sp.
Lineage: Bacteria; Pseudomonadati; Verrucomicrobiota; Verrucomicrobiia; Verrucomicrobiales; Verrucomicrobiaceae
Description: bacterial SSU rRNA
Rfam family: Bacterial small subunit ribosomal RNA
Source: RNAcentral
AGCAGAUCUUCGGAUCUGUGGAAAGUGGCGAACGGGUGCGUAACACGUGAGCAACCUGCCCUAAAGUUUGGAAUAGCCUGUCGAAAGAUGGAUUAAUGCCGAAUGUGGCUCUUUUUCGCAUGAAAAAGUAGCUGAAGCUUGUAAUGGCGCUUUAGGAUGGGCUCGCGGCCUAUCAGCUUGUUGGUAAGGUAAUGGCUUACCAAGGCUAAGACGGGUAGCUGGUCUGAGAGGAUGAUCAGCCACACCGGGACUGAGACACGGCCCGGACACCUACGGGUGGCAGCAGUUUCGAAUCAUUCACAAUGGGCGAAAGCCUGAUGAUGCAAUGCCGCGUGGAGGAUGAAGGCCCUAGGGUCGUAAACUCCUGUCAUUGGGGAGCAACAAGUAAGUUCAUAGCUUACCAUGAGUUAACCCAAAGAGGAAGAGGUGGCUAACUCCGUGCCAGCAGCCGCGGUAAU